UGCAGAAGAUGCAUUUGCUUCAGCACCGUAUGCAUGAGCGCCAGAAGAUGCAUCGACCAGGGAAAAAUUGAUAAAGACAUAAAUAAUAUAUAUGCUGUCUCCAUAACCAUAAGGACAUUGCUUGGUUUUGUGCUUCUAGCUUUGAUAUGGGAAGAUAAGUUCCCACCUUUCAUGCUUCUGAUAAUCGC
Molecule: long non-coding RNA, 188 nt
Organism: Quercus lobata
Lineage: Eukaryota; Viridiplantae; Streptophyta; Magnoliopsida; Fagales; Fagaceae
Exons: 3
Source: RefSeq, a predicted model, not a curated record